CAUUCCCCAGCGGUGAUGCCUUUGAAGGCAGUGAUUCCUGCACACUGGAAGAGGAAGCAUCAGAGCACUAGCCACAGGCUACUGAGUGCCCCAUCUUCCUUUCAGGCUCGUGGGAUGGCUCCGUGUCACCUCCAGGAGGAGCUUUAAUGCUGUGUUCUUAGCAAUGGUCAGCCCUAACCCUAUCCCUGCGGAAAAUUAGAUGAAAGACUCGUGAGAGUAUUGCCUUCAGAAAACAUCCAACUGCCACUCCAGAAUGGGAUAAGUAAGGCUCCACCUUAGUGACACCGGCUGAGAACAGUCCAUCAGAAGAUGCUAUGUUCAAGAGCUACAAUACCAUUGUCUGUCUUCUCCUCUGGGAAGUGCUCUUGGGACAGUGUUGCAUCAUCUCUGGAAUGUUCAAGAUUGUUCCAGAAAUCUAUUCACAACAUCACAAGAAAGUAAGGAAGUCACAUGGAGAUAAUUGGAGAAGCUCUCACCAGCAGGGCCAGCUGUGGACACCUGAUUUCAACCUUCACAUGAGGAAUGAAUGUCCAUGAAGACAUGCCCAGCCUUACUCCAAACCAUGGCACAGAAUCUAUAGGACAACUACUGCAGAACUGUGAAAAUACCCAAACAACUCUUCUUUUGUUCCAGUACAUCUCAGGCAAAUGGACAAUGCUAGAAGAAACCAUCCUGAGUGAGUCACAAAAAGACAAACAUGUUUCUGUAACUGGAUUACUAGUGCUGUUGAAGUGCUGUGGAAACUAAACAAGGAGUAUUUAUAAUUAUAUGGAAAAUAAAAACUAAUGACUUCAAAUUACAAGUUGACGCAAAGACAAAUGAAUAUCCCCAUGGUGUAAUCACCUAGUUGAAAAAUCAGGUGACUUCUGUCUUCACAUUCCCUUUCAGCACAUUUUCUGCAUUUACUUGGUCUUUUUCUGCUGUCCCACACUGGGCUGUUGGAGGCACCCUUGAUGAUUUCAGAGGCUGUCUUCUCUAAACAUUCUGGUCCUGAGAUAAGGCAUAGAAUCAACAAUGUGUCACAUCUGUGUGGGAGCUGGCUCAACGAGAGGCUGAGCCACACAGGGAGCAUUUCCUGAUUGGGCUGGUGGAAGGAGCCCGUGUACCUGAGAGAGAGCACAGAGCUGCAUGUGUUGGGCAUUGUCAACAGAGUGCUUAUCUUCCAUUCUUUCAAAAAAGUACAGAGCCCAGUGAUGCAGAGGAGCUACAGUGUAUUCAGACCCUGAAUAUCACAAAAAGAUGGAAGUCAUCCCACUGUGACUGCAUGGCAUAGCAGGUGGACACUUUACGCUGCUACGUUUGGAGAGAUUUGUUAUUUAGAAGUAGCAACUGUGACUCCCAAUUUGGGGCAUUAGAAAUCAUAACUGAAUAAGGUGUGUUCUUAUGAACCAGGAAAAGAGGCCAGACAAAGCUGUGAAAGAACAUGGUGCCCGGAAGGCCCCAGGUAUUUUCCAUUAUACCGACAUGCUAUACAAAACUACCCAUGAAUGAAGUGACGAUCACACCCGUGACUUUGGAUGCCUGUAUAAAUCAAUUCUGUCAGAGAAAGCUUGAACUUGAACAACUGAAUCCACAGGAAGAACUAGUAAACUUGAGAUUCCCCUCUUGAGUUCCUGUCUUCGCUUUCCUCAGUGAUGGAGGUAAUCAAUAGACAGCUAAUCUCUUCCCUCCUCCACGUUGCAUUUGGUCAGAGUUUAAUCACAGCGACAUAGGAGCAGAGUGGGACAUCUAGGACACAAAGUGCUCUGUCUUAGAUGCCCAGAAUUCUCCACCAGAUGCCCUACAUCAUGGAUGACAAAAGGAUCAUGAAAAAUGGAAGUUCUUUUGCGGCCUAAGUGAAGAAAUGCUACCAAGAACUCUGAUUCUAAUUGUCAUUGUUUACAACUUAACUUUUAACCUAUGAAUCAUGUUUCUACCCACAAGAAUGUACAAACAUGUUAGAUAUGAAGCAAGCUUUUGUGGAAUAUUCUUAUAAAUACUCAUACUCAUGCAUGGGGGAAUACGUAGAACUAAUAUUAUAAAUCAUUAAGUCUGUGUGCGUGACUAUUGCAGUGUGCUCAUGUGAUGGCCCAUACUUUUUUUAAAUAAUGUAGUUAUAGUAUAAAUUGAAAUAAAAAUAAAAAUACUUUUGAAAGAACAGUA
Molecule: long non-coding RNA, 2142 nt
Organism: Mesocricetus auratus (golden hamster)
Lineage: Eukaryota; Metazoa; Chordata; Mammalia; Rodentia; Cricetidae
Exons: 14
Source: RefSeq, a predicted model, not a curated record